GAUGAACGCUGGCGGCGUGCCUAAUACAUGCAAGUCGAGCGAACGGACGAGAAGCUUGCUUCUCUGAUGUUAGCGGCGGACGGGUGAGUAACACGUGGAUAACCUACCUAUAAGACUGGGAUAACUUCGGGAAACCGGAGCUAAUACCGGAUAAUAUUUUGAACCGCAUGGUUCAAAAGUGAAAGACGGUCUUGCUGUCACUUAUAGAUGGAUCCGCGCUGCAUUAGCUAGUUGGUAAGGUAACGGCUUACCAAGGCAACGAUGCAUAGCCGACCUGAGAGGGUGAUCGGCCACACUGGAACUGAGACACGGUCCAGACUCCUACGGGAGGCAGCAGUAGGGAAUCUUCCGCAAUGGGCGAAAGCCUGACGGAGCAACGCCGCGUGAGUGAUGAAGGUCUUCGGAUCGUAAAACUCUGCUAUUAGGGAAGAACAUAUGUGUAAGUAACUGUGCACAUCUUGACGGUACCUAAUCAGAAAGCCACGGCUAACUACGUGCCAGCAGCCGCGGUAAUACGUAGGUGGCAAGCGUUAUCCGGAAUUAUUGGGCGUAAAGCGCGCGUAGGCGGUUUUUUAAGUCUGAUGUGAAAGCCCACGGCUCAACCGUGGAGGGUCAUUGGAAACUGGAAAACUUGAGUGCAGAAGAGGAAAGUGGAAUUCCAUGUGUAGCGGUGAAAUGCGCAGAGAUAUGGAGGAACACCAGUGGCGAAGGCGACUUUCUGGUCUGUAACUGACGCUGAUGUGCGAAAGCGUGGGGAUCAAACAGGAUUAGAUACCCUGGUAGUCCACGCCGUAAACGAUGAGUGCUAAGUGUUAGGGGGUUUCCGCCCCUUAGUGCUGCAGCUAACGCAUUAAGCACUCCGCCAGGGGAGUACGACCGCAAGGUUGAAACUCAAAGGAAUUGACGGGGACCCGCACAAGCGGUGGAGCAUGUGGUUUAAUUCGAAGCAACGCGAAGAACCUUACCAAAUCUUGACAUCCUUUGACAACUCUAGAGAUAGAGCCUUCCCCUUCGGGGGACAAAGUGACAGGUGGUGCAUGGUUGUCGUCAGCUCGUGUCGUGAGAUGUUGGGUUAAGUCCCGCAACGAGCGCAACCCUUAAGCUUAGUUGCCAUCAUUAAGUUGGGCACUCUAAGUUGACUGCCGGUGACAAACCGGAGGAAGGUGGGGAUGACGUCAAAUCAUCAUGCCCCUUAUGAUUUGGGCUACACACGUGCUACAAUGGACAAUACAAAGGGCAGCGAAACCGCGAGGUCAAGCAAAUCCCAUAAAGUUGUUCUCAGUUCGGAUUGUAGUCUGCAACUCGACUACAUGAAGCUGGAAUCGCUAGUAAUCGUAGAUCAGCAUGCUACGGUGAAUACGUUCCCGGGUCU
This 1372-nucleotide ribosomal RNA is filed under the name uncultured bacterium. RNAcentral describes it as "bacterial SSU rRNA". It matches the Rfam family "Bacterial small subunit ribosomal RNA", at positions 28 to 1381 of the family's 1533-position model. The record is from RNAcentral.